RNAcentral lists this ribosomal RNA (617 nucleotides) under uncultured bacterium. Its description in RNAcentral is "bacterial SSU rRNA". The stretch from base 1 to 519 matches the Rfam family "Bacterial small subunit ribosomal RNA", at positions 338 to 873 of the family's 1533-position model. The record is from RNAcentral.
CCUACGGGAGGCAGCAGUGGGGAAUAUUGGACAAUGGGCGAAAGCCUGAUCCAGCAAUGCCGCGUGAGUGAUGAAGGCCUUAGGGUUGUAAAGCUCUUUUACCAGGGAUGAUAAUGACAGUACCUGGAGAAUAAGCUCCGGCUAACUCCGUGCCAGCAGCCGCGGUAAUACGGAGGGAGCUAGCGUUGUUCGGAAUUACUGGGCGUAAAGCGUACGUAGGCGGUUAUUCAAGUCAGAGGUGAAAGCCUGGAGCUCAACUCCAGAACUGCCUUUGAAACUAGAUAGCUAGAAUCUUGGAGAGGUGAGUGGAAUUCCGAGUGUAGAGGUGAAAUUCGUAGAUAUUCGGAAGAACACCAGUGGCGAAGGCGACUCACUGGACAAGUAUUGACGCUGAGGUACGAAAGCGUGGGGAGCAAACAGGAUUAGAUACCCUGGUAGUCCACGCCGUAAACGAUGAUAACUAGCUGUUCGGGCUCUACGAGCUUGAGUGGCGCAGCUACGACAUUAAGUUAUUCCGUCCGUCGGGGAGGUACGGUCGGCGAAGAAGUUAAAACUUAAAAUUAAGUAAGUUAGUACGGUACGUGAGACGUGCCGACGGACGACGACGAGGGAGGAGG